RNAcentral lists this ribosomal RNA (670 nucleotides) under uncultured bacterium. RNAcentral's name for it is "bacterial SSU rRNA". It matches the Rfam family "Bacterial small subunit ribosomal RNA", at positions 229 to 915 of the family's 1533-position model. The record is from RNAcentral.
AUUCGCGGCCUAUCAGCUUGUUGGUGAGGUAAUGGCUCACCAAGGCGACGACGGGUAGCCGGCCUGAGAGGGUGACCGGCCACACUGGGACUGAGACACGGCCCAGACUCCUACGGGAGGCAGCAGUGGGGAAUAUUGCACAAUGGGCGAAUGCCUGAUGCAGCAACGCCGCGUGAGGGACGACGGCCUUCGGGUUGUAAACCUCUUUUAGUAGGGAAGAAGCGAAAGUGACGGUACCUGCAGAAAAAGCACCGGCUAACUACGUGCCAGCAGCCGCGGUAAUACGUAGGGUGCAAGCGUUGUCCGGAAUUAUUGGGCGUAAAGAGCUCGUAGGCGGUUUGUCGCGCCUGCUGUGAAAACCCGAGGCUCAACCUCGGGCCUGCAGUGGGUACGGGCAGACUAGAGUGCGGUAGGGGAGAUUGGAAUUCCUGGUGUAGCGGUGGAAUGCGCAGAUAUCAGGAGGAACACCAAUGGCGAAGGCAGAUCUCUGGGCCGUAACUGACGCUGAGGAGCGAAAGCAUGGGGAGCGAACAGGAUUAGAUACCCUGGUAGUCCAUGCCGUAAACGUUGGGGACUAGAUGUGGGGACCAUUCCACGGUCUCCGUGUCGCAGCUAACGCAUUAAGUUCCCCGCCUGGGGAGUACGGAAUCGUCGACCCGCAGGACAAACG